This is a long non-coding RNA of Mugil cephalus (flathead mullet), 174 nucleotides long. RefSeq lists it as uncharacterized. The transcript is spliced from 4 exons. Lineage: Eukaryota; Metazoa; Chordata; Actinopteri; Mugiliformes; Mugilidae. The record is from RefSeq and is a predicted model, not a curated record.
ACACUGAGAAAGCGGCCUUCUUUUGCCGUGCAUAUGAUGAGGACAGCCAGGGCAUCUUAUGCACCCCUGAAGUAGUCCCAUCCACCGCAUCUGUAUCAGUUCAGAAUGUAUAUCCUUCUCAGACCGUAAUCUGGCCAGGGAGCGGACUGUUUGAAGCAGGUGACGAAGCAAUAC